AACGAACGCUGGCGGCAGGCCUAACACAUGCAAGUCGAGCGAGGACUUCGGUCCUAGCGGCGGACGGGUGAGUAACGCGUGGGAACGUGCCCUUUGCUUCGGAAUAGCCCUGGGAAACUGGGAGUAAUACCGGAUGAGCCCUUUGGGGGAAAGAUUUAUCGGCGAAGGAUCGGCCCGCGUUGGAUUAGGUAGUUGGUGGGGUAAUGGCCUACCAAGCCGAUGAUCCAUAGCUGGUUUGAGAGGAUGAUCAGCCACACUGGGACUGAGACACGGCCCAGACUCCUACGGGAGGCAGCAGUGGGGAAUCUUAGACAAUGGGGGAAACCCUGAUCUAGCCAUGCCGCGUGAGCGAUGAAGGCCUUAGGGUUGUAAAGCUCUUUCAGCUGGGAAGAUAAUGACGGUACCAGCAGAAGAAGCCCCGGCUAACUCCGUG
This 433-nucleotide ribosomal RNA is filed under the name uncultured bacterium. RNAcentral's name for it is "partial 16S ribosomal RNA". It matches the Rfam family "Bacterial small subunit ribosomal RNA", at positions 29 to 507 of the family's 1533-position model. The record is from RNAcentral.